RNAcentral lists this ribosomal RNA (496 nucleotides) under uncultured bacterium. Its description in RNAcentral is "partial 16S ribosomal RNA". It matches the Rfam family "Bacterial small subunit ribosomal RNA", at positions 28 to 506 of the family's 1533-position model. The record is from RNAcentral.
GAUGAACGCUGGCGGCGUGCCUAAUACAUGCAAGUCGAGCGAACGGACGAGAAGCUUGCUUCUCUGAUGUUAGCGGCGGACGGGUGAGUAACACGUGGAUAACCUACCUAUAAGACUGGGAUAACUUCGGGAAACCGGAGCUAAUACCGGAUGAUAUUUUGAACCGCAUGGUUCAAAAGUGAAAGACGGUCUUGCUGUCACUUAUAGAUGGAUCCGCGCUGCAUUAGCUAGUUGGUAAGGUAACGGCUUACCAAGGCAACGAUGCAUAGCCGACCUGAGAGGGUGAUCGGCCACACUGGAACUGAGACACGGUCCAGACUCCUACGGGAGGCAGCAGUAGGGAAUCUUCCGCAAUGGGCGAAAGCCUGACGGAGCAACGCCGAGUGAGUGAUGAAGGUCUUCGGAUCGUAAAACUCUGUUAUUAGGGAAGAACAUAUGUGUAAGUAACUGUGCACAUCUUGACGGUACCUAAUCAGAAAGCCACGGCUAACUACGU